RNAcentral lists this ribosomal RNA (301 nucleotides) under uncultured bacterium. Its description in RNAcentral is "partial 16S ribosomal RNA". It matches the Rfam family "Bacterial small subunit ribosomal RNA", at positions 509 to 807 of the family's 1533-position model. The record is from RNAcentral.
CAGUAGCCGCGGUAAUACGAAGGGGGCUAGCGUUGCUCGGAAUUACUGGGCGUAAAGGGAGCGUAGGCGGACAUUUAAGUCAGGGGUGAAAUCCCAGAGCUCAACUCUGGAACUGCCUUUGAUACUGGGUGUCUUGAGUGUGAUAGAGGUAUGUGGAACUCCGAGUGUAGAGGUGAAAAUCGUAGAUAUUCGGAAGAACACCAGUGGCGAAGGCGACAUACUGGAUCAUUACUGACGCUGAGGCUCGAAAGCGUGGGGAGCAAACAGGAUUAGAUACCCCCGUAGUCCCUGUCUCUUAUAC